UGAUUUGACAGCUGGUCUUGAGCAUCCAAGCACACAGAGCUGAUUUUCCAAGAUAACCAGUACAUGUCAGCUAAAAAAAGAAGACUGAACACUCUACUCUUGAAGGCAAAGGAAUUAUGAGAAUAUCAAAUCACAUAGACCUAAAGACAUUGUCAAAGACUCACAUCAACCAAGGUAUACUCCACUGCUAUGCUGAGUACAGAGACAUUCUUUUAACCCACGAACCACCAACCAUUUUUACCAGUGGCUUCACCUGCGAGGAGAUGGGAGCACUUCUAGGGAAAAGGAGUGGCAAGAUUAGAUGACAGAAGACUUCUCUCAGGUUGGGGAACUGGUGUUCAAAUUCUUGAUUCCAGGAAGACACAAUGAACUAUUCACAGAAUGUCUGUGAAAGGGAAAUGCAAAAUAAAAGGGAUAUUCAAUGGAGCUUGAAAUCAGGCUCUCUCCAGCAAGGCUGCUGCCCUGCCAAUCACCUUCGAUUUGUAGUGAUUCCCUGACUUGUUCUGCAUUGUGUGUUUGAAGGGAGUAUGAGAAUAUGAACAGCAAUAACUGUAUCAGUGUCUGCCACUUGGAAGCGGGAGAUGUUUUCAGUCCCUU
Molecule: non-coding RNA, 597 nt
Organism: Taeniopygia guttata (zebra finch)
Lineage: Eukaryota; Metazoa; Chordata; Aves; Passeriformes; Estrildidae
Source: RefSeq, a predicted model, not a curated record